Molecule: unclassified non-coding RNA, 310 nt
Filed under: fungal sp.
Lineage: Eukaryota; Fungi
Description: partial internal transcribed spacer region
Rfam family: Eukaryotic small subunit ribosomal RNA (bases 1-45)
Source: RNAcentral
AGUCGUAACAAGGUUUCCGUAGGUGAACCUGCGGAAGGAUCAUUAUCACAAAUGAUUUUUAACUCUCUUAAUCCAGAGUUAAACCUCUUCUUAAACCAAUCUAAUUAAAAUGUGAAAUCGUUUUAUUUUAAGACUUGGCAACAAGUCUUAAAAUUAUUAACCAAUUGAACCCUUUUCUAAUUAAUGUUAUUUUAUUUAUUUAGUUCUGAAAUCUAUUAUAUAUCAAUAUGUAAUAAUAUUGACAUGUAAUAAGUUACAUUACGAAACAAUUUAAAUAAAACAACUCUUAGCAACGGAUAUCUUGGUUCUC